CUCGCCAUUGAGACUACCGUGUUCGUCGCCGAGUACAUCUGGUAUGUACGCAACGAACCUCCCUAAUGCAAUGUCGCUGCUGUUUAUUUCAUCUUUUGAUUGCGGCAGACUAUAUUCCACUAAGGCACAUUAGGGAGUAGCUUUGGGAUAGGGGCCAAACCUGCAUAUUUUGAUCAAUUAUUUUUAUUAGAUUAGCAAUGGGAGCUUACUGUUCAGUGAGGAUUUUCCCCCUUAAAGUCAUAUUGUUAAUAUCCAAAAAAUUUAAUGGGUGGGUGGUGAUGUCCCACUGCUUUGCCCUUUUAAUUCCAGCACUUAAAUAAGAAUUGGAGGGUAGACGUUGCACAAAUGGAUCAUGUGGCAUUUACUACUGUUGUAUUAUCAUAUCUAGCAUCUCUCUAUAAAAAAUAAAUCUAGCAUUAGUUUUGAACUUCUGAUGAUGUAAGGUAAACACAGAGGCAUAUCUUCGUCAUAGUUGCAUCCUUUAUAGCAGAGAUUUUGUUAUGAAAAAAUUAUUUUGUUGAUGGAAGCCUUUGUGCUUCUGUCACUUGGACGUGAAGUUUUUGUAGACAAUCUUAGGACGUGAAGUGGGAUGCAACAUCUAUAGAUCUACUGACACUGAAAGGUGGUUGUUAGUUAGGUUCUGAUUGUGCCAAUCAAUAAUACACAAUUGUUACUAGGGUUCGGCUACGGAUGCCAUCCAUCAACUCAUGUUUUAAAGUGUGCUUGUGAGAUGCAAUCCGAUCUCUCUAUCUUUCCCGCUGAGAUGCAGAGGAGCUCGGUGUUUUAGGGCCUGGCUGUUGCUGCAGGGGAAGGUGGAGCUGCGAGGAAACAAGACAGGUGGACAAUGCGACAGGAAGCAAGAAUGAAUUUCUAAUCAAUCUACUGUUUCCCUUGAGUCGGGGGGAACGUACCACGCACCACGUUGUGUUUAUUGAUCUGGAAUCCUAGAGGAUCACCCACCCUCGUAAUUCAGUAUUGAGAUGAUCUCCUUAAUUUCUCAAAUGUGUUUUAUUAAAUUGGAUUCCUGUAAUUAUCCUUGCUCUAAUUUGAUAGUUUUACCCUCCCGAGCAUGUUGUGCUUCCAUAAAAACAUGAAUAUUUCUCAGCCAUUUUAUUGAAAAUGUAGUCGUAUGCUUUCACAUUGACUCUGGAUAUUCUCCUAAACGAAGGUCAAGAACAAUUGAUUUUAUCGGCAACAGGAGGCGCUUAUCAGUCGCCAUCAAGUGCCUCAACCAGUGCGGCGUCCAGGUACACACAUUGCUUCAUCUCCUGUGCUAUCUCAUCGUCUAGACAAUAUAUCCAUGGGUGACCCCUAUACUCACCUCAUCUCCAGAUUAGAACAUAAGUGUCGUAGGAGGGUAGGAUCUAGGCAACUGCAGUACUGAUUGUCCAGCUAGGCAACAAAGUCGACGGGGCAAAUAACAUAAUCUUCAGAUAAAGUUAUAUUCGAAAGUCAGUAGGCUUUUCAUGAUUGCCAGUGGUAAAACAAGCAUAUAUUUCUUUUGAUUAUUGACAUAGCACAGCUUAGUAGGGUGGACCAACCAACAUUGGGUUUGGGAGGUCAUUUAAUAGGAAACACUUCGCUGCAAGUUUCUUCACCAUUGAACACAAUUCAUCACAAGACUUUAUAUAUGUUGGCUGUCAUGCAUGUACGUCUGCAACUAAAUAAUUACAGGAUGUUGUGUGCUUGUUCUAUGUCCAGCAGUAAAGAUGUUUGAAGUUUUGUACCAGUUUCCAAUAGAUCAUUUCCUACAACAAUAUUUGUUUUGCAAUCCAAACAAGUAAAUGUCUUGUAAAGAAGUAGAUGUUUCUACAUAUCAACACACCAUUCAAGUUAUUUACAGAAUGAUUUUCUUGGAGCGUUCAUAAUUUCAUGUAUGUUUACAUCAUUAUUCAUGUGUGGGUUGUAUUGUGUUUUCUUUCGUGGGGUGCCGGACACGCUACUGACGGUACUAGCAUGUUUGGGCUGGGGAGACAGAGAUGGUAUGCGGAGUAAGAAGAGUGAUUUAAGGGGAGAGAAAUCAUAACAGGGGUUGGUGGAGCAGAAGAGGGUGAAGGAAGACUUGUGGGGAGCUGCGAGGAAUAGAUUUUGGGGUAUGUUACUAUUUUAUGUGUGAUAUCAGUUCAUAAUUUACUGCAGCGGUCAGUUCUCUACUUUCUAUGUACUAGGUUAAUUCUAUUUGCUAGCCUGAAGUGUUUUUUCUAUAGCAACUAAAUAUUGUGAAAGUAACCCUGAAACAUACACACAUCUACUAAAUGCAAAAUUGUUUCUCUGUUGGUACGAACAAUCAUGUAGAUUACUGCAUGUAGUUUCGUUUUGCACACAACAUACUCUCCAGUAGUGCUGAAAUUAGAAUCUCAAUCCCUGUCCAUUAUACAAGAUGCAAAAGAGUUCAGAAUAAGAUAUCCAUCAUCAUAUUCACGCAUUUUCUGUUGUAAUAUAUAUUUUGUAUUUGUGUACAGGUUGACACAUUACACAUACAUACAGUAUGUCUAACUUAUGCAGAAGAAAAGGGGCCCUUCAUAUAAAUUAUUUGCAUGCUCAUAGUUAUGAACUUAAUACACUUUGCCUGGCAUUCAUAACCAUUAUACUUCCUCCUGCCCAAAUUUGUUGUCCUACGUAAUAGUGUUCCACUUUGCGCCUACCACUGGUAGCUGGAAAUUAGAUAUAAUAAUAAUCAGUUUCCUUGCUAGAUUUGUUUCCUUAUAGGAUAUCCUGCCGAUUUGAUCUAUUUUUGGCUAGAGCACAUGGGAUCAAACCAGAGGUAAUCAAUUUUCUAUGUUCACCUGAUUAGUUAUAAGGAAUUUAUUACCUCUGUUUUAUUUCCAGGAUACCCAAACCAGUGGUAAUGUUUUUUAUGGCUUUGAAAUUCUGUACAAGGUAUUCUCAUGUCUAAAUACUAGAAUUGUUUGUUCAUUGCUAAAUUGUUAAUGAGGGGUCCAUGUAGUGCUCUCAGUGGAGACACUAGACCAUCUGAUGUUCAUUUAGACAUUUCUAUUCAAACUUUCAAAGUGAUUGUUUUCUUUUUGUGUGUCCACACAGUUGUUUGUGUGCAUCCAAUAUAAAACUUGCUAUGAAUUUGCACCACCUACACCCUUUUUCCAUGUCUUAGUCUAUAUGAAUUACCCACUUUAUAUACCGCAAAAAGAAAUUACCCACUUUAUAAUAACUCACAUGUUAAUUAAAAGGAAAAAGAUCUGAACCAUCGACACUCUAUAAGUUAAGUUGUUCAACUAAAAUUUAACAAAGAGAUAUUUGAUUCCAUGGAUCUCUAAUUUUUCUGCAGUGUUGUAAUUAUAUUGUCUCGGGUGUUGUUGUACGUUCCUUGUAUCAUGUUGACUUACUCCUUGAUCAAUAGGGAUGUGGAUACAAAAUUCCAUUUUCCACUACUUAUAUUAUCCUCAUUGGACCUUAAGCUAUAAUCAUCGGUUGUUGUUGUGUGUCUGCCUGCCUGGCAAUGUUUCACCUCUAUUUUUGACCUACUGUUGACUUAUUUGGAACCUGAGAAAGAAUUAUUUUACAUGUUAGAGUACUCUCAUAUGUUCGAAGUCAUAAAACCAGCUGAGAUAAUGAAAUAAUGCCAGGUAAUUACUCGUGGUUUCAAGGUUGCGCAAAGGAGAGGAGGCAUGGUUAUAGGUCCUCGACAACAUCUGCGCCUCAUAGGUCAGCCAUGAUUCUCGGAUUUUUUUGUUCUGCUGUUAUUCCCAAAGAAACAUCGUAGUUCUUUUGGAUGGUGAAAGAUUAUUCAGUUACUGAAAUACUUCUUAUCCAAAGAGCUGGGAAUAUUUAAAACAUCUAAAUUGCUUAUCUCAACACUAUAAUAGAAAGUACUAUCUCGAAAAUAAUAACAAAACACCGUGAUAAACUGGGCACCGAAGCCAUAUUGACACAGACCCAUGAUCAAUGAUAUGUGAGCCAAGUCUUCCCGUGAACUUACAGCCACCCAUUGAGUGCAUGAUUUCUUCCAUCUCCUUUUCUUUUGUUUUCCAGGGCAGAUAUUCCACUGUGCAUCGUAUUUGACCAUACUUAACCAAGUUGAUUCAUAUCAAUUAGUAUCUUUUGGUUUUCUUCCAGUUUAUUAGGCAUGGACCCAGCCACAAAUUCUGAAGCUUCAAUAAUUUGGGUGGUCUAAUAGUUCCUGUAUAGCUUGAUGUCAUAUCAGGUGUAAUAUUUUGUUGUUGCUUGAUGUUGCAUCAAGACAAGCUAGGGUCAACAAGGAACAAAGGGGUUGACACAUGGAGAAGCGGGAGCAUAAAAUUCAAAAGGUACUGAACAUGUGUAUGGAUUACACCGGUGAGUGAAUGGUGUGGCACAUUGAGUCAGAGAGGAGUAGUUGCUUGUCUGGUAUGAAAAACAGUUGUUUCUCGAUUAGAUUAAGGCCAAACUUAUCUUCAACAUGUGUGGUCUUUCAUCACCAUUUUAAAAGAGGUUCAAUGCAAAAUCCUAAGACUGCCAAUUUUUACUAUAUUGGAAGUACUUUAUCGAUACGUUUGGAACAAUUCUCAGAUUCCAUGAAACAUAUUCGUGGCACCAAUUUUAACUAAAGAAUAAAUCAAUC
RNAcentral lists this long non-coding RNA (4558 nucleotides) under Triticum aestivum (bread wheat). RNAcentral describes it as "long non-coding RNA (TAES_LNC026037)". Lineage: Eukaryota; Viridiplantae; Streptophyta; Magnoliopsida; Poales; Poaceae. The record is from RNAcentral.